GAAAUCGGGCUUCGUUGUCGAAUUAUUAAUCUCUUUCAGAAACAAAAGAAAAAAAAAUUAAAAUCCAUUCUGUUCUUCCCAAUUUUCUUUCUAGUUUAUCAAAAGAAAUCUCAUCAUAAACUUUGGUGGUCUUUUCUUUUCGAACAAAAUAGUUACAAACGACUAUGAUUCAUCGUAACACGUUGUCGACGAUGGGGGCAGCUCAGUUCAUUACAUGUGUACAGAAGCUAGAGAAUGAAAUCGAUACCUGUUGAGAACAGAAAACGGGUAGCCAUUUGUGUGGCGUCAUCGAAUUUGAUUGAUGCACCGUAUUUACUUCGUUGGAUCAGCAUAUUCCACAUAGAAAAGCAGUUAUGCACCAUCACAUCUAUCGGCGACGUCGGGAUUUUCCUUCUCUAGCGAAAGAACGUUUUUUUUUUUACUUCUUAAGACAGAGAAUAUAUAAAAAAUGACAUUCCAAUUUCUUGGACCAACGCAGAGAAAAUGCUCGGCUAUCCGAGCAGAGGAUCGCAACUGAAAGGGGGAAAAAACAUGCGGGGAAUGUCACAUUUAGAGAAAAAAGAGCGGGAAUUUUUAUUUCUUUCGAUGAUAUGGAAGUCACAAAAACACAUUUUUUCCCAUGGAC
Molecule: long non-coding RNA, 625 nt
Organism: Daphnia carinata
Lineage: Eukaryota; Metazoa; Arthropoda; Branchiopoda; Diplostraca; Daphniidae
Exons: 3
Source: RefSeq, a predicted model, not a curated record